GGGGGUUACUGUGCCCUGCCUGCAGGGAUGGCAAUGCUAACCUUGCCAGCACCAGCCCAGCCUGGAGCUGAGCUCCUGCCAGCAAAGGCUGAGGGGUCAUUGCAGGACUGACAGCAGACAGAGCAGGAGCAGACAGAAGUGCUGCUGACAGAGGAAGAAAGAGUCUGGAUCCUGCUCACCAUGAGACUUUAAAGUCCAAGAAUAUUCAAAGAUUGUGAUCCAAGUUGGCCUCAGAAGUUUUUCAUUCAAGGCAAAUCAACAUGCAAUGGGACUUGCUUUUCAAGGCUAUUUCUGAUUGGCCUCCUUGCUAAAAAAGUAAGAAGUUCACCAGAAGGGUAAAGACAAAGCAUCCUGGGAAUAUGAAACAAGAAUGAGCUACCAUCAAACUUCACCUCAUUACUGCUUAGAUUUGUUUUCAAAGUGAGAUGGAAUGCAAACUAGCCAUAAUGCAGAUUCUGUCCCAAAACUUUCCACUCCACUCCACUCUUAAGUCACAUUAAACACAGUGAUGGCCAUAAAAGUCCACUGUGAGACUUGUUAAAGCAUGCAUACUUUUGAUCACUCAAGACAAUAAAUAAUCAGAAUAACAAGCA
Molecule: long non-coding RNA, 593 nt
Organism: Calypte anna (Anna's hummingbird)
Lineage: Eukaryota; Metazoa; Chordata; Aves; Apodiformes; Trochilidae
Exons: 2
Source: RefSeq, a predicted model, not a curated record